CGCAAUCCUUCCCCGGUCCCGACCCCUGCGCCCGCUGCAUCGGUCUCCAGCCUUUGCGAGAAGCGCCUCGGACACGGGAGAAACGAGGAGGUCCCGGCAGACAUUUCGGGUUUCGCAAGGAGCGCGGUUUCCUGACAGACGAGCGCGCAGGGAGCAGGCAGUGGGGGGAAAUCCUGCCGCCGCCCCACGGCGCCCGGGCGGCCCGGCUCGGCGGACGGGCAUGGAUGCACUAAUGGACGGAUGGAGGAUGAGCGCUGCCAGCGAGCAGGUGAGACCUGCCUAUCCCUUGCCUUCACUGAAAAUCUGGGACUUUGCUGUUUGUGCCGGUUAAACCUCUAUUCCUGUACCUCACACUAGCUUAAAAGAUAAAAAAUAAAAUUCUGUUCAUCACUGAAUAACCUCUUUCACCUUCUUUCCAGCAGUGAUGUCAGCAAUAAUUAGGUAGAUACGGGCUCUGGUACUACAAAAUCCAUAAUGAAGGGCAAAUAAUCUGAAUGGGAACAGAAUUGAGCCCACAAUCCCAGAUUCUCUUUUAAACAUCAGCCUAAACAUGAAAUUUUUGAAGUGGAAAAGCUCACCAUAAUUCAUCAUUAUAUGAAAAUAUACCAGUUUUGAAAGUAAAAAAUUUAUAACUCAAUGGAUACAAUUACUGCUAAAUUCAAUAAAGAGAAAUUAUCAUGACUGAUGCUUAUUCACUUAAAUGGAUUGUUUAUCGUUUGUACAAAAGGCCAAGUGUGCCAGAUACUUGCAACAGCUCUUAAUACAUAAUUCACACUGCAACAGUGCAUUUUCUGCACUUAGGGUAGAGUAAAUACAUGUCUAGAUGUUAAUUUGCCUUCACCAAAUCCCUUUUAGAACUGUAGUUUUGGUCAACUUAGCUUCUUAGAAAAUGAGUUCGGCUCCUCCUAGAUACACUAUAGAAUUCAAGCAGCCUUGUAAUAAAAAUCAUAAAGACGUUCAUACAUCCAAACCAUGUCUUUUAAUUGUGUUUGACUUGACUUAUGCUGAUUCUCUGUACCACUCCUUGAAAACAAAAAUAUUUACAUUAUUCUAUGGUCUGUGAUAUGAGGGGUAGGAAAAACGACCGGGGAUCAAGCUACUGCUACAGAACAGGCCUUUUAUUGUCAAAGGGGAUCUAUGUCCUUUGGAGCAGAGCUGAUGCUGAGCUAGCAUAACCCUCGAUUCUGAGUGUCAGUCCAUGGAAGAUGAUUGUACACAUGAGGCUGUAUAGUAUGGAAAUGUCAACAGAAACUCAGCACUCUUCUGCAGGCUAACAAAAAGGUGGGAUGGAAAGAGAGGAAUAACCCUGAAAUGCACAUGUGGCAAUAACAGCAUGAGAAUGGAACAGAGGUGCAUGAAAGUCAUGGUUCAGGCUCCUGCUAGACUGGCCCAUCAGCCCGAAACCAUACCUGGGCACUUCACCAUAUCCUCCUGCCUUGGAAUGAGCCUUGGGCACACAGACAGCUCCACAGCUCUCUUCUGAAAUAAAUCCCCCCUGUAACACAACCCGGAAUGUGUUCAUUGACUUGAAUUUCACCUGCAUUUUCACCAAGUUGAGACCUUGUAAUGACAGAGCUAAGACCCCAAAAGCUCUGAAAAUGUUUAAUGAAAUACUGCAUGCAGUUAAAAGUGAAUAAUAACCAACAUCUCCAUAUUUGGUGUACAUGCAAAAAACAGCAGAAACUCAAUCCUGACGGCAUUUUCCCGAGAUGUUAAUAGCAUCACAAAGAGGGAGAUAUCAGCUUAGGGACAGGAAGGACAAUAGGUAGGGUGAAAUGUAUGAGGUGGCACAUAGCUCAAGAGAAAAGGAGACAUCAAAGGUCUUCUUUUUCAAGACAAGAUAGGAAUGGAUGAACUGUUGAUACUUUAGUGAGAUUAUACAUAUGAAUGCAGUUGCUUGGCAGUUUAGGCAUCUCACUAAUGUAAUUGUCUUUGCUUUGUUAAGCUGCAUGGAUGCUGUCCUUCCAAUACAUUUCUCAGGAGUCAACUUUCCACUUGGGCUUGGAAAAAUGAUGAUAAAUGAACAUGCAAAGUUCAAAGGGCAGUUUAGCAAAUCACCAAAGUAAGAGCACAUGUUUAACAUGCUGUUCUAAGGCCUUCCACGCUCCUACCUUUGCCAGACAGAUGCACUGUUUCAUAUUAAAAUAAUUAUCCAGGACAUUUAUGAACAAGUUUGGGAAAACUAAGAUCUCUUCUGUUACCAUAUAAGGGAAAUGAAUACUGCUCAAGGUAGGCGGCAACAAAAAUGCCUACCUGCCUCCCUGGGGUGGUCAAUGACACAUGAAGUCCCAGAACAACCCAGAACUUGUCUAACCAAAAUUUGAAGUUCAAACUUCAAACUGUAAUAAAAUAAAAAUUAAAUACUGAACACAAUCACCAACAGCAUUUUCUCUAUGCAGAGAGCUCACACUUUAAACACUACAUGUCAGUCUAUGUUCCUGUAUACUCUGUGUUAAAAGGGUGUGAAGUCCUACGGGAAUACAAGAAUAUCCUGAGUUCUUACCAUCAAAUGUCAACUUGCCCCCUUUCCAAACUAUAUGCAUCUAUAUUUUUCCUAGAAAUCAACAGUAUCUCUGAAGUCCUACAAUAAUUUUAAAAAGAAAACCCUACAGCAAUGCAAACAUAACAUUCACCCACACCAGGUCUACAAAGAUCUGACACAGAGAAUGCCUUAGGACAGCAAAGAGACAGCACCAACUGAACUUCUACCCCAACAGAGGAAAUCAAACCAAACCAAAGCAAAGAUCUAACUGCUUUUCUUUUUCUUUUUUUUUUUUUUUUUUGAGGGCAGGGGAAAGAGAAACAGGCAGUGAAAUAUGGAAUGGUAGGCGGGGCAAUUUCAUUUGGGAUGGGCAUUUUGUCCCAAAAAUAACCCUAGAGGUGGGACUGAAAAUAACCUGGUAAUAUCUAAGCCUACACAAUGUUACAUGCAGAGAACAAAUGUUGCUCUUUAGCAGCAAAUUACGUGAUGUAGAACAAAAUGCUUGAUACCACAGCUGUAUGUAUGAUUACUUAGCUUCUUGCUUUUAGAAGAGGAAACAAAACUGCAUAGGUCUGUUUUGAGUAUUGACUUUUAAUAGCUUGUUUCUCAUAAGGGAACAGGGGAUGUUUUCUGCUUUAGAAAUACAGGUAUCAGUUGACCUUUAAAUACAGCCUGCUCCUGCCAACAGGUCAUGUACAUGAUUUAUUUGGCUUCAGCUUUUGUUUUUAUGCAUUAAGCAACUUUCAACCUUCUUCUGUCAUACAAUAUAUAGACAAAUUUAAGUACAGUAAUAGUGUGGGUAUUUUACCAUCUUCACAUUUUCUUGACAUACUGGACAAAGUGAUACACAUCAGUCUGUCCCCAAGCCCCAGUUUCAGACAAAGCUUGUUGAAUACUGCUUUCAGUGGCACAUUCAACUUGCUCCCAUAUUUAACUUGCUAAAUCUACAGAAACAGAUCCUUUGGGAAUAUCAGGAAUUAUUUCCAGCUUUGUCCAGUGACAUUCAAAUGCUCGGGCCAACUACUGGUAAUUUUAUGGUUACUGUCAUUUUAUGGUUACUACAGAUGUUGCACAGACAGGAAAAAGUUUUAGAACUGGACAAGCUAUAGUAAUCUAGAUUUUGGUAGAGGAAUUACAUACAAAAACAGGGACUUUAUAUAUAUAGUUUUCAAUCUGUAGUUUCAUUUUUCAAAAUAAAACCUGUAUAUAUAUAUGGAUAAUAUUCAAGAUCUGUAUAACAGUUGCUUUCUGGCUAAAACAAAGUAUUUAGACAGAAUCUCACUUUCUGUUUUUCAGUUCAAAUAUACUAGCCAGUCCAGUCCUUUGGGAGAAGAAACUUCCAUUUUUAAAUCCUUUAGGAUGCAUCAGAUUCAUUAUAUGCUAAUGACCUUAACUUAUACAAUAUAUUAUAUUAUGAAGUGAACGGAAGGGGUUUAGGUAUCGGAAGUAUCAGUCUGGGUGCAGUAAGCCAAACAGCCAUUUAAACAUGAUACUACAGCUGAAAUAAGUCUCUGUCAGAACAAAAACCAACAUUCAUAAAAACAGCAGCAGCCAUCAAUAACAUUCACAACUGCAGGGAUUUUUUUACUGUGUGUGAUUUUGCAUUAUAAGUAGAAGCCACAAUAGUUUAAAGCAAAAUUUAAAAAAAUAUUACUAUAGUCUUGAAUUUAAUAAUGUGAAUUGUCACUCAUAGCUGUUUAUAGAAGUGUACUAAAAAAAUUUACUUAAACAUAUGAAUUUAAGACUUUCACUUUAUUCAGCAAAUUGGUUUAUUUACACAGUGGGGAACGCUGGUUGAAUGCUGUCAAUGUAAUAAAAACAAAUCUAACAGAGACAAUACUGAACUCUCUCUAUGUAUUCAUAGCAGAAAUGACAAACUAUUUCCUUACCUGUAUCAGGAACAUCAAGCGCAACAAUGGGACAGUAUCAUAGGACACUGAUUUAACAAUAAACCACAGAGGUCCAGUAAUACUAUGGCAAUUUACUCAUGUAUUUACUGACUUUAAAAUAAAAAUAUUAAAAGUCAGCAAUACCCAGUAAAAAGUUCUGUCAAUUAUCAGAGUCAAACUCUGAUGAGUAGGUCAGUAAAACCUUAUCAGAUCAUCCACAGUUCAUAAAGUGACAUGAGUUGCUUCGGACCACCAAUACAGAAACAAAAUUGAUGAAAAUAGAUUAUCCUCUAAAAGGCAACGAUGAUCUGAUAAGGGUUUAACUUAAUGGAAGUUAAAAAAAAUAAGAAUUGCAGAGCACAGCCCCUAUUAGAACAAGCUAACUUUCCAACUUUCAAAAUAGACAAAAAAAAAUUUGAGAGAAAGAAAAAAAAAACAAAAAA
Non-coding RNA from Zonotrichia albicollis (white-throated sparrow), 4814 nucleotides. NCBI's taxonomy places the organism in Eukaryota, Metazoa, Chordata, Aves, Passeriformes, Passerellidae. The record is from RefSeq and is a predicted model, not a curated record.